GAUGAAGAACGCAGCGAAAUGCGAUAAGUAGUGUGAAUUGCAGAAUUCAGUGAAUCGUCGAAUCUUUGAACGCACAUUGCGCCCCUUGGUAUUCCAUGGGGCAUGCCUGUUCGAGCGUCAUUUGUACCUUCAAGCUCUGCUUGGUGUUGGGUGUUUGUCUCGCCUCUGCGUGUAGACUCGCCUUAAAACAAUUGGCAGCCGGCGUAUUGAUUUCGGAGCGCAGUACAUCUCGCGCUUUGCACUCAUAACGACGACGUCCAAAAGUACAUUUUUACACUCUUGACCUCGGAUCAGGUAGGGAUACCCGCUGAACUUAAGCAUAUCAAUAAGCGGAGGA
RNAcentral lists this unclassified non-coding RNA (337 nucleotides) under soil metagenome. RNAcentral's name for it is "partial contains 5.8S ribosomal RNA, internal transcribed spacer 2, and large subunit ribosomal RNA". The stretch from base 1 to 120 matches the Rfam family "5.8S ribosomal RNA", at positions 35 to 154 of the family's 154-position model. The record is from RNAcentral.